RNAcentral lists this long non-coding RNA (423 nucleotides) under Nicotiana tabacum (common tobacco). Its description in RNAcentral is "long non-coding RNA (NTAB_LNC003609)". Lineage: Eukaryota; Viridiplantae; Streptophyta; Magnoliopsida; Solanales; Solanaceae. The record is from RNAcentral.
CAGAUACUGGACCAUGUGGAAGCUACCUAUGUUCGGAUGCACUGAUGCCACCCAAGUGUUGGCUGAGGUAGAAGAGGCGAAGAAGGCAUACCCACAGGCCUGGAUCCGUAUCAUUGGAUUCGACAACGUGCGUCAAGUGCAGUGCAUCAGUUUCAUCGCCUACAAGCCAGAAGGCUACUAAGUUUCAUAUUAGGACAACUUACCCUAUUGUCUGACUUUAGGGGCAGUUUGUUUGAAAUGUUACUUAGCUUCUUUUUUUUUCUUCUUCCCACAAAAAUUGUUUUAUGUUUCCUACUUUCUAUUCGGUGUAUGUUUUUGGAUUCCUACCAAGUUAUGAGAACUAAUAAUAAUUAUGAUUUGGUGCUUUGUUUGUAAAUUUUGUUGUUUCACAUUCGUGUGGCGUAUAUGAGUUUCAUCUUGAUA